CUUGUUUUAACUUCUGUAUGUGCACCUUCACGCCCUGGAGAGGGGUAUCAGACACAGCCUGACUGCCCGAGCAGUUGCGGACUGGCCCAAUUUCCUGCAGAGUGCUGCGAAGGCCGUAGAUAUCAACUUCAAAGGAGAGGACUUCUGGUGCUCCCAGUGCUAUCCUUGCUGAUUGCAAUGAUACUCUUCAGAAGAAUAAAAAAGGAAGAUAAGCCCCAGCUGCAACUUCAAGGAAUGGCUCAAUGCUUCAUUCAUGGCUUGAAAGAACAGCAUUGCUAUCCACAGUGGCAGUUUGUGUCUAUGAACCUUCUUAGAUGGCUCUCAUGCUCAGAUUUCUGUGCUGCAGCUCAUUAGCAGGAGAGCUGCCUGUGGGGCUGCAGCAGGAUGGGCUCUAGUAAACGGAUACAUUUACAAGAGGCCAAGGAUACAGUGGUGGAUCUUGCUUGUCAUUGGUGAAAAAGUCCAGAGUAAGUCAUAUUGUAUGGUCUCAAAGCUGGUGUAACUAGGAAAUCAGAUGCAUUACUUGCAGGGAAGCUCUGAAAUCUCUGAACCUUUUUUUCCAAUAGAUUGGUUAAUAACAAUUCUCCCUCCUAAUUUAUUGUUUCCAGUGACUGGGCAGUACUUUAUUCAGGUGAAUGAAAAAAAAAAAAGGUGAUUUACUCAAGCAAAUGUGUUCAGGGAUGUAUUUUUCUAUUUUCCAUCUAUGUCCAUUUUAGCAAUGGUGUGUCCCAUGCUUGGCUCCCUGGGGGGAAAGUCCAUCCACUGAUCUGUGGGAUGUGAUUAAACACCCACUAGGACUGAAACUGGGACCAUCAAAAUCAGUUGUCUGCAUUUUUUUGAACAUGGACCCAUGAGUUAAAAAGCUUGUGCAUUAAUUAAUUGUUUUGCUAACACUUAAGUGAAAAGAAAUAAGAAUUGAACUCUGGCUUGUUUCAGCUUCUUUCCUUGGGUGUUUUGUUGCUGUUGUUUUUUUACUGACUGAAGAGAGGAACAGCUAGAACUGUGCAAUGAUGAUCAUGUUGAACUUUCAAAAUAAUUAGAGGAUUCACUUAACAUUAAAGUAAUAACUUUAAAGGAGAAGGGUUUGGGGAAGGAGAGAGAGAGAAAGGGGAGAGAGAGGUGGAGUGGAAAGCAAGAAAUUAUAGAAAAAGGGUUGCCCAGAAGCUUGCAAAUUGUCAGCUGGCUGAAUUUAAAUAAACUUAUGGGAAACAAAAUACUGGGAAGUAGG
RNAcentral lists this long non-coding RNA (1228 nucleotides) under Cyanistes caeruleus (blue tit). Its description in RNAcentral is "lncRNA (ENSCCEG00000004809.1)". Lineage: Eukaryota; Metazoa; Chordata; Aves; Passeriformes; Paridae. The record is from RNAcentral.